CCACUUACCUGGCAGGGGGAGACCGUGGUCACGAAGGGGGUUCUCCCAGAGUGAAGCUUCUUCAUCACACUCUAGAGUUGCUGAUCCCUGUGAUUUCCUCAGUGUGGGAAACGGUGUUUGUGCUGGAAGAGGCUGCACUCUUU
Molecule: small nuclear RNA, 143 nt
Organism: Pongo abelii (Sumatran orangutan)
Lineage: Eukaryota; Metazoa; Chordata; Mammalia; Primates; Hominidae
Gene: U1
Rfam family: U1 spliceosomal RNA
About the family: U1 is a small nuclear RNA (snRNA) component of the spliceosome (involved in pre-mRNA splicing). Its 5' end forms complementary base pairs with the 5' splice junction, thus defining the 5' donor site of an intron.
Source: Ensembl